GAAUGUUACCGUUCUUUUAGAAUUUGUCUAGCAGGUUUUCUGGUUUUCAUUGGAGAUCUCUA
Small nuclear RNA from Otolemur garnettii (small-eared galago), 62 nucleotides. Its record names the gene U7. It matches the Rfam family "U7 small nuclear RNA". Rfam says of the family: Animal histone pre-mRNAs are spliced by a different mechanism than nuclear pre-mRNAs and self-splicing introns. This processing involves the U7 snRNP, which contains only one RNA species: U7. The record is from Ensembl. Lineage: Eukaryota; Metazoa; Chordata; Mammalia; Primates; Galagidae.